UACGAAGGGUGCAAGCGUUACUCGGAAUUACUGGGCGUAAAGCGUGCGUAGGUGGUUUGUUAAGUCUGUUGUGAAAGCCCUCGGCUCAACCGAGGAAUGGCGCUCCAAACUACCGUGCUCGAGGAAGACAGAGGUAAGCGGAACUGAGGGUGGAGCGGUGAAAUGCGUUGAUAUCCUCAGGAACACCGGUGGCGAAAGCGGCUUACUGGGUCUUUUCUGACGCUGAGGCACGAAAGCUAGGGUAGCAAACGGG
Molecule: ribosomal RNA, 253 nt
Filed under: uncultured bacterium
Lineage: Bacteria
Description: partial 16S ribosomal RNA
Rfam family: Bacterial small subunit ribosomal RNA
Source: RNAcentral